CCUACGGGAGGCAGCAGUGGGGAAUAUUGGGCAAUGGGCGCAAGCCUGACCCAGCAACGCCGCGUGAAGGAAGAAGGCUUUCGGGUUGUAAACUUCUUUUAAGGGGGAAGAGCAGAAGACGGUACCCCUUGAAUAAGCCACGGCUAACUACGUGCCAGCAGCCGCGGUAAUACGUAGGUGGCAAGCGUUGUCCGGAUUUACUGGGUGUAAAGGGCGUGCAGCCGGAGAGACAAGUCAGAUGUGAAAUCCACGGGCUCAACCCGUGAACUGCAUUUGAAACUGUUUCCCUUGAGUGUCGGAGAGGUAAUCGGAAUUCCUUGUGUAGCGGUGAAAUGCGUAGAUAUAAGGAAGAACACCAGUGGCGAAGGCGGAUUACUGGACGAUAACUGACGGUGAGGCGCGAAAGCGUGGGGAGCAAACAGGAUUAGAUACCCCUGUAUC
Molecule: ribosomal RNA, 441 nt
Filed under: uncultured bacterium
Lineage: Bacteria
Description: partial 16S ribosomal RNA
Rfam family: Bacterial small subunit ribosomal RNA
Source: RNAcentral